RNAcentral lists this ribosomal RNA (2791 nucleotides) under Enterobacter cloacae. RNAcentral's name for it is "bacterial LSU rRNA". It matches the Rfam family "Bacterial large subunit ribosomal RNA". Lineage: Bacteria; Pseudomonadati; Pseudomonadota; Gammaproteobacteria; Enterobacterales; Enterobacteriaceae. The record is from RNAcentral.
UUAAGCGACUAAGCGUACACGGUGGAUGCCCUGGCAGUCAGAGGCGAUGAAGGACGUGCUAAUCUGCGAAAAGCGUCGGUAAGGUGAUAUGAACCGUUACAGCCGGCGAUGUCCGAAUGGGGAAACCCAGUGCAAUUCGUUGCACUAUCGUUAACUGAAUACAUAGGUUAACGAGGCGAACCGGGGGAACUGAAACAUCUAAGUACCCCGAGGAAAAGAAAUCAACCGAGAUUCCCCCAGUAGCGGCGAGCGAACGGGGAGCAGCCCAGAGUCUGAAUCAGCUUGUGUGUUAGUGGAACGGUCUGGAAAGUCCGACGGUACAGGGUGAUAGUCCCGUACACCAAAAUGCACAGGCUGUGAACUCGAAGAGUAGGGCGGGACACGUGGUAUCCUGUCUGAAUAUGGGGGGACCAUCCUCCAAGGCUAAAUACUCCUGACUGACCGAUAGUGAACCAGUACCGUGAGGGAAAGGCGAAAAGAACCCCGGCGAGGGGAGUGAAAAAGAACCUGAAACCGUGUACGUACAAGCAGUGGGAGCACCUUCGGGUGUGACUGCGUACCUUUUGUAUAAUGGGUCAGCGACUUAUAUUCUGUAGCAAGGUUAACCGUAUAGGGGAGCCGCAGGGAAACCGAGUCUUAACUGGGCGUUAAGUUGCAGGGUAUAGACCCGAAACCCGGUGAUCUAGCCAUGGGCAGGUUGAAGGUUGGGUAACACUAACUGGAGGACCGAACCGACUAAUGUUGAAAAAUUAGCGGAUGACUUGUGGCUGGGGGUGAAAGGCCAAUCAAACCGGGAGAUAGCUGGUUCUCCCCGAAAGCUAUUUAGGUAGCGCCUCGUGAAUUCAUCUUCGGGGGUAGAGCACUGUUUCGGCUAGGGGGUCAUCCCGACUUACCAACCCGAUGCAAACUACGAAUACCGAAGAAUGUUAUCACGGGAGACACACGGCGGGUGCUAACGUCCGUCGUGAAGAGGGAAACAACCCAGACCGCCAGCUAAGGUCCCAAAGUCACAGUUAAGUGGGAAACGAUGUGGGAAGGCACAGACAGCCAGGAUGUUGGCUUAGAAGCAGCCAUCAUUUAAAGAAAGCGUAAUAGCUCACUGGUCGAGUCGGCCUGCGCGGAAGAUGUAACGGGGCUAAACUGUGCACCGAAGCUGCGGCAGCGACACUAUGUGUUGUUGGGUAGGGGAGCGUUCUGUAAGCCUGCGAAGGUGGCCUGUGAGGGUUGCUGGAGGUAUCAGAAGUGCGAAUGCUGACAUAAGUAACGAUAAUGCGGGUGAAAAGCCCGCACGCCGGAAGACCAAGGGUUCCUGUCCAACGUUAAUCGGGGCAGGGUGAGUCGACCCCUAAGGCGAGGCCGAAAGGCGUAGUCGAUGGGAAACAGGUUAAUAUUCCUGUACUUGGUGUUACUGCGAAGGGGGGACGGAGAAGGCUAUGUUAGCCGGGCGACGGUUGUCCCGGUUUAAGCAUGUAGGCGGAGGUUCCAGGUAAAUCCGGUACCUUUUUAACGCUGAGGUGUGAUGACGAGGCACUACGGUGCUGAAGUAACAAAUGCCCUGCUUCCAGGAAAAGCCUCUAAGCAUCAGGUAACAUUAAAUCGUACCCCAAACCGACACAGGUGGUCAGGUAGAGAAUACCAAGGCGCUUGAGAGAACUCGGGUGAAGGAACUAGGCAAAAUGGUGCCGUAACUUCGGGAGAAGGCACGCUGAUAUGUAGGUGAAGCCCCUGCGGGUGGAGCUGAAAUCAGUCGAAGAUACCAGCUGGCUGCAACUGUUUAUUAAAAACACAGCACUGUGCAAACACGAAAGUGGACGUAUACGGUGUGACGCCUGCCCGGUGCCGGAAGGUUAAUUGAUGGGGUUAUCCGUAAGGAGAAGCUCUUGAUCGAAGCCCCGGUAAACGGCGGCCGUAACUAUAACGGUCCUAAGGUAGCGAAAUUCCUUGUCGGGUAAGUUCCGACCUGCACGAAUGGCGUAAUGAUGGCCAGGCUGUCUCCACCCGAGACUCAGUGAAAUUGAACUCGCUGUGAAGAUGCAGUGUACCCGCGGCAAGACGGAAAGACCCCGUGAACCUUUACUAUAGCUUGACACUGAACAUUGAGCCUUGAUGUGUAGGAUAGGUGGGAGGCUUUGAAGCGUGGACGCCAGUCUGCGUGGAGCCAACCUUGAAAUACCACCCUUUAAUGUUUGAUGUUCUAACGUUGGCCCCUUAUCGGGGUUGCGGACAGUGUCUGGUGGGUAGUUUGACUGGGGCGGUCUCCUCCCAAAGAGUAACGGAGGAGCACGAAGGUUAGCUAAUCCUGGUCGGACAUCAGGAGGUUAGUGCAAUGGCAUAAGCUAGCUUGACUGCGAGCGUGACGGCGCGAGCAGGUGCGAAAGCAGGUCAUAGUGAUCCGGUGGUUCUGAAUGGAAGGGCCAUCGCUCAACGGAUAAAAGGUACUCCGGGGAUAACAGGCUGAUACCGCCCAAGAGUUCAUAUCGACGGCGGUGUUUGGCACCUCGAUGUCGGCUCAUCACAUCCUGGGGCUGAAGUAGGUCCCAAGGGUAUGGCUGUUCGCCAUUUAAAGUGGUACGCGAGCUGGGUUUAGAACGUCGUGAGACAGUUCGGUCCCUAUCUGCCGUGGGCGCUGGAGAAUUGAGGGGGGCUGCUCCUAGUACGAGAGGACCGGAGUGGACGCAUCACUGGUGUUCGGGUUGUCAUGCCAAUGGCAUUGCCCGGUAGCUAAAUGCGGAAGAGAUAAGUGCUGAAAGCAUCUAAGCACGAAACUUGCCCCGAGAUGAGUUCUCCCUGA